Molecule: ribosomal RNA, 3163 nt
Filed under: sludge metagenome
Description: eukaryotic LSU rRNA
Rfam family: Eukaryotic large subunit ribosomal RNA (bases 387-3163)
Source: RNAcentral
AGUCUUAGCGGUGGAUCACUUGGUUCAUGGGUCGAUGAAGAACGCAGCCAGCUGCGUUAAUUAGAGCGAAUUGCAGACACAUUGAGCUCUAAACUUUCGAACGCACAUUGCGCCGCGGGUUUGCUCCCGUCGGCACGUUUGGCUGAGGGUUGUUUUACAGAACUCAAUUGCGCCGAUGCUUGUACGGUGUUGGGUCGGAGAGCGCGUUCGCGCCCUCUCUUAGAUUUGGAUGCAUGUACACCACGAGAAACGUUCCCGAAAUGGGGAUGAAUCUCAAGUACAGACGCAAUGCGUUGGCGUGCGGGUGAUGCCUGGAUUCGGCAGGAUGAAUCCGCUAAAGGGCUGCCUGCGCUUGUCUAAUGUGUUGUGCGAUUUCUUUGAAUUCUCAACCUCAGCUCAAUCGUGAUUACCCGCUGAACUUAAGCAUAUCACUAGGCGGAGGAAAAGAAACUAACGAGGAUUCCCCUAGUAACGGCGAGUGAAAGGGGAAGAGCCCAGCGCUGAAUCCUGCUCUCCCCUGGAGGUAGGAACUGUAGCGUAUAGGUGUUGCUGUCCGGCGUAGUUGUUCACCCCAAGUUCCCUUGACUGGGACCACUGUCUAGAAAAGGUGCAAGACCUGUACGGGUGGUAACUACGACGGUUGGUAGCGCCUCGGAGUCGGGUUGCCUGAGAUCGCAGCCCAAAGAGGGUGGUAAACCUCAUCUAAGGCUAAAUAUGACCAUGAAACCGAUAGCAAACAAGUACCGUGAGGGAAAGUUGCAAAGAACUUUGAAGAGAGAGUUCAAGAGUACGUGAAACCGCUGGGAUGGAAACGGAGAGAGUUGACGAAAGCCGGUGCUAUUCAACUGUGUCGCGCAAUCGCACUGGGACAUGGCUACCUCUCUGGGGAGCUUGUCUUGGUGGCACGAUACGCGGCGCGUGCAUUUGGUGCCGGUGUGCGCUGAGGGCCUUGACUGAGCGCUCCGAACCGCAGUGUGUUGCCCACUUCGGUGGUGUCUUGCACGUGGCUAGGUGUGCCCGGCUAGGGUUAGCUGCUAAUGCGUUCUCGCUAGGCGUCUGUUGUUGUGCCUCUGUGCGUGCUACGGUGGCGGUCGUCGAAAGGCGACAGGCUAUCGUAGUGUGUAGGGAGGUGGAGCGCGGACGUGGAACGCUUGCUCCUCGGUGUGACCGUCGACCACCCCUCCGACCCGUCUUGAAACACGGACCAAGAAGUCUAGCAUAUACGCGAGUCAUUGGGUGAAAAACCUAAAGGCGUAAUGAAAGUAAAGGCGGCUCGAUCCGCUGAUAUGGGAUCCGUGCAUGGGAGUGUGCGGCGCACCAUAGCCCCGUCCCGAAGGCUUGCCUUGGGGCGGAGGUUGAGCGCAUAUGCUGGGACCCGAAAGAUGGUGAACUAUGCCUGAGCAGGAUGAAGCCAGAGGAAACUCUGGUGGAAGUCCGAAGCGGUUCUGACGUGCAAAUCGAUCGUCUGACUUGGGUAUAGGGGCGAAAGACUAAUCGAACCAUCUAGUAGCUGGUUCCUUCCGAAGUUUCCCCCAGGAUAGCUGGAGCUCGUAAAUGCAGUUAUAUUCGGUAAAGCGAAUGAUUAGAGGAAUUGGGGACGAAACGACCUCAACCUAUUCUCAAACUUUCAAUGGGUAUGAAGUCGCGGUUGCUUAAUUGAACCGUGAUAGCGAAUGUGAGCUCCAAGUGGGCCAUUUUUGGUAAGCAGAACUGGUGCUGUGGGAUGAACCAAACGUCGGGUUAAGGUGCCUAACUUCCCGCUCAUGAGACCCCAUAAAAGGCGUUGGUUGAUAUAGACAGCAGGACGGUGGCCAUGGAAGUCGGAAUCCGCUAAGGAGUGUGUAACAACUCACCUGCCGAAUCAACUAGCCCUGAAAAUGGAUGGCGCUUGAGCGGGGGACCGAUACCCGACCGUCGGCGAUUUGUGCGCGCUUGCAGCUGCGCCUGAUCACGACGAGUAGGAAGGUCGCAGUGGUUUGCGUUGAAGGCUUUGGGUGUAGACCCGGCUGGAGCUUCCAUUGGUGCAGAUCUUGGUGGUAGUAGCAAAUAUUCAAGUGAGAUCCUUGAAGACUGAAGUGGAGAAGGGUUCCACGUGAACAGCAGUUGGAUGUGGGUCAGUCGAUCCUAAGGUAAAGGCUAAUGCCUUGUAUCAGCAUGUGCGGGAGAUCUAAUCCCACACGGAUGCCGAAAGGGAAACGGGUUAAUAAUCCCGUACCUGGUAACGGAUAGCGGCGUGCCUUGUGUGCGUCGAGCGCGGUAACGCAAACGAACUCGGUUACGCUGAGUUGAGCUGGUGCCAGAGUUCUCUUUUCUGGUUAAGGAACUGACUCCCUGGAAGCGGCUCAGCCGGAGAUAGGGACGUUGUUUCCGUAAAGCGCCACGGUUCCUGUGGUGUCACCUGUGCUCGACUUGGUCCUUGAAAAACUGAGGGAGGCGUACUAAAUCUCGUUCCAGAUCGUACCGAUAUCCGCAGCAGGUCUCCAAGGUGAACAGCCUCUAGUCGAUAGAAUAAUGUAGGUAAGGGAAGUCGGCAAAUUAGAUCCGUAACUUCGGGAAAAGGAUUGGCUCUAAGGAUUGGGUUAGUCGGGCUGUGGUGUGAAGCGGCGUCGGACCUGUCCAAGGCUGGAUGAGACCCUCGGGUCGAGUUCGGCCUAGCGGCGGGACUGUGUCGUGGACUGCUGCAGCUGCGUGCCUUGCUCUCGGGCUUGGUACUUCGGCUAGCGCUAAACAAUCAGCUUAGAACUGGCACGGACUCGGGGAAUCCGACUGUCUAAUUAAAACAGAGGAGACAGAUGACCCUUGCGGGCGUUGACUGUCUCUGAUUUCUGCCCAGUGCUCUGAAUGUAAAAGUGAAGAAAUUCAACCAAGCGCGGGUAAACGGCGGGAGUAACUAUGACUCUCUUAAGGUAGCCAAAUGCCUCGUCGGCUAACUACCGACGCGCACGAAUGGAUUAACGAGAUUCCCACUGUCCCUAUCUACUAUCUAGCGAAACCACAGCCAAGGGAACGGGCUUGGCAAAAACAGCGGGGAAAGAAGACCCUGUUGAGCUUGACUCUAGUCCGACUCUGUGAAGAGUCAUGAGAGGUGUAGCAUAAGUGGGAGACUUCGGUCGAAAGUGAAAUACCACUACUUUCAUUGAUUCUUUCCUUCUUCGGUAAGGCG